UGUGGCGUUAUGCUGUUGUCAUUUUCAAAUAACAUUUCACCAUUUUCCACAUUAUUUCUUCAUAUUAUUUCAAAUAUUUUCAUCAAUUUCCAAAAAUCACUAAAAAUAGAAAAUGUAUCCAAUUUAAUCCAUUCUUUUUUCCACAUGUUCAUUUGAAUGUCUAUCAUUUUGUGAGGUUUAUUUCAUGAUUUUUACAUUUCUGGAUUUUUGAUUGAGCUUGCUUAUUUGAACAUGAUGCAAAUGUGACAUGUGGUGCCAAU
RNAcentral lists this long non-coding RNA (260 nucleotides) under Lathyrus oleraceus (garden pea). Its description in RNAcentral is "Pisum sativum (pea) long non-coding RNA (PSAT_LNC011640)". Lineage: Eukaryota; Viridiplantae; Streptophyta; Magnoliopsida; Fabales; Fabaceae. The record is from RNAcentral.